UCAGUGUCCAUGGCAGUACGCAAU
This 24-nucleotide non-coding RNA is filed under the name Mus musculus (house mouse). The record is from RNAcentral. Lineage: Eukaryota; Metazoa; Chordata; Mammalia; Rodentia; Muridae.